RNAcentral lists this ribosomal RNA (254 nucleotides) under uncultured bacterium. RNAcentral describes it as "partial 16S ribosomal RNA". It matches the Rfam family "Bacterial small subunit ribosomal RNA", at positions 524 to 776 of the family's 1533-position model. The record is from RNAcentral.
CACGUAGGGUGCGAGCGUUGUCCGGAAUUAUUGGGCGUAAAGAGCUCGUAGGCGGUGUGUCGCGUCGGCCGUGAAAACCUGCAGCUUAACUGUGGGCUUGCGGUCGAUACGGGCAUCACUGGAGUUCGGCAGGGGAGACUGGAAUUCCUGGUGUAGCGGUGAAAUGCGCAGAUAUCAGGAGGAACACCGGUGGCGAAGGCGGGUCUCUGGGCCACUACUGACGCUGAGAAGCGAAAGCGUGGGGAGCGAACAGG